GAAUUAAUCCUCGCAAUAUUUAAGUUGUAAAUAAUUCAAGUUAGAAUUAUUGUUAAGUAACUCAGGCUAAUUGUGACACUUGGUAUCCGGACCCGACGAUCAGGUAAGGUAUAGGAUCUUAUAGUUGCCUUGUAUUGUGAGAGUGUUUAAUUGCUCUAUAUCUACUUUCUUAAGGUCUUAAUCAAUUCUCCACUUUAUUGAUCUUUUUUGUGAGGAUUUACUUUAAGGUUUUGGGUAGAAAUCCUUAAGAGGAAG
RNAcentral lists this long non-coding RNA (255 nucleotides) under Gossypium barbadense (sea-island cotton). RNAcentral describes it as "long non-coding RNA (GBAR_LNC001478)". The record is from RNAcentral. Lineage: Eukaryota; Viridiplantae; Streptophyta; Magnoliopsida; Malvales; Malvaceae.